UGAGAGUAGCUCAGUUGGUAGAGCAUGAGACUCUUAAUCUCACAGUCAUGAGUUGAAGCCCGUUGGGCAAAA
This 72-nucleotide transfer RNA is filed under the name Podarcis lilfordi (Lilford's wall lizard). RNAcentral describes it as "tRNA.Lys". The stretch from base 7 to 63 matches the Rfam family "tRNA", at positions 8 to 63 of the family's 71-position model. Rfam says of the family: Transfer RNA (tRNA) molecules are approximately 80 nucleotides in length. Their secondary structure includes four short double-helical elements and three loops (D, anti-codon, and T loops). The record is from RNAcentral. Lineage: Eukaryota; Metazoa; Chordata; Lepidosauria; Squamata; Lacertidae.